AUUGAACGCUGGCGGCAUGCUUUACACAUGCAAGUCGAACGGUAACAGGCCUUCGGGUGCUGACGAGUGGCGAACGGGUGAGUAAUGCAUCGGAACGUACCCAGAGGUGGGGGAUAACGCAGCGAAAGCUGUGCUAAUACUGCAUGUGAUCUGAGGAUGAAAGCGGGGGACCGAGCAGCAAUGUUUGGCCUCGCGCCUUUGGAGCGGCCGAUGUCGGAUUAGCUAGUUGGUGGGGUAAAGGCCUACCAAGGCGACGAUCCGUAGCUGGUCUGAGAGGACGACCAGCCACACUGGAACUGGGACACGGCCCCGACUCCUGCGGGAGGCACCAGUGGGGAAUUUUGGACAAUGGGCGCAAGCCUGGUCCAGCAAUGCCGCGUGCGGGAAGAAGGCCUUCGGGUUGUAAACCGCUUUUGGCAGGAACGAAACGGUGUCCGCUAAUACCGGGCGCUAAUGACGGUACCUGCAGAAUAAGCACCGGCUAACUACGUG
RNAcentral lists this ribosomal RNA (492 nucleotides) under uncultured bacterium. RNAcentral's name for it is "partial 16S ribosomal RNA". It matches the Rfam family "Bacterial small subunit ribosomal RNA", at positions 29 to 507 of the family's 1533-position model. The record is from RNAcentral.